AGGACGAACGCUGGCGGCGUGCUUAACACAUGCAAGUGGAGCGACGAACCAGGGCUUGCCCUGGGGCAGAGCCGCGAACGGGUGAGUAACACGUGGGUUACCUGCCUCGAUGACCGGGACAACCCGAGGAAACUCGGGCUAAUACCGGAUGUGCCCGCAAGGGGAAAGGAAGCUUCGGCCUCCGCAUCGAGAUGGGCCCGCGGCCCAUUAGCUUGUUGGUGAGGUAACGGCUCACCAAGGCUUCGAUGGGUAGCUGGUCUGAGAGGACGAUCAGCCACACUGGGACUGAGACACGGCCCAGACUCCUACGGGAGGCAGCAGUGGGGAAUCUUGCGCAAUGCGCGAAAGCGUGACGCAGCAACGCCGCGUGGGGGAAGAAGGCUUUCGGGUUGUAAACCCCUUUCAGUUGGGACGAAGCUUCGGCGGUGAAUAGCCGUUCGGAGUGACGGUACCUUCACAAGAAGCACCGGCUAACUACGUGCCAGCAGCCGC
This 492-nucleotide ribosomal RNA is filed under the name uncultured bacterium. RNAcentral's name for it is "SSU rRNA". It matches the Rfam family "Bacterial small subunit ribosomal RNA", at positions 26 to 518 of the family's 1533-position model. The record is from RNAcentral.